CCUACGUGUGGCUGCAGUCGAGAAUCAUUCUCAAUGGGCGAAACUCUGAUGCUGCGACGCCGCGUGGGGGACUGAAGUUCUUCGGAUUGUAACCCCCUGUCAUGUGGGAGAAAAUUCAAUCGAUUGUCCCACAAGAAGAUGCGACGGCUAACUCUGUGCGCGCAGCCGCGGUAAUACCGAGGUCUCACGCGUUGUUCGGAAUCACUGGGCGUAAAGCGUGCGUCUGCGGUUUCGUAAGGCGUGUGGGAAAGGCGCGGGUGUAACGCGCGGACUGCACAUGAUACUGGGAGACUAGAGUAAGGGAGGGGGAAGCGGAAUUCUCGGUGUAGCAGUGAAAUGCGUAGAUAUCGAGAGGAACACUCGUGGCGAAGGCGAGUUCCUGGACAUUAACUGACGCUGAGGCACGAAGGCCAGGGGAGCGAAAGGGAUUAGAUACCCUAGUAGUC
RNAcentral lists this ribosomal RNA (446 nucleotides) under uncultured bacterium. RNAcentral describes it as "partial 16S ribosomal RNA". It matches the Rfam family "Bacterial small subunit ribosomal RNA", at positions 338 to 795 of the family's 1533-position model. The record is from RNAcentral.